This 253-nucleotide ribosomal RNA is filed under the name uncultured bacterium. Its description in RNAcentral is "partial 16S ribosomal RNA". It matches the Rfam family "Bacterial small subunit ribosomal RNA", at positions 524 to 776 of the family's 1533-position model. The record is from RNAcentral.
UACAGAGGGGGCAAGCGUUGUUCGGAAUUACUGGGCGUAAAGGGCGCGUAGGCGGCCUUCUAAGUCGAACGUGAAAUCCCUGGGCUCAACCCAGGAACUGCGUCCGAGACUGGGAGGCUAGAAUCCGGGAGAGGGAUGUGGAAUUCCAGGUGUAGCGGUGAAAUGCGUAGAUAUCUGGAGGAACAUCGGUGGCGAAGGCGGCAUCCUGGACCGGUAUUGACGCUGAGGCGCGAAAACCAGGGGAGCAAACGGG